AUUGAACGCUGGCGGCAUGCCUUACACAUGCAAGUCGAACGGCAGCACGGGUGCUUGCACCUGGUGGCGAGUGGCGAACGGGUGAGUAAUACAUCGGAACGUACCUUAUCGUGGGGGAUAACGCAGCGAAAGCUGUGCUAAUACCGCAUACGCCCUGAGGGGGAAAGCGGGGGAUCGCAAGACCUCGCGCGAUUAGAGCGGCCGAUGCCUGAUUAGCUUGUUGGUGGGGUAGAAGCCCACCAAGGCGACGAUCAGUAGCUGGUCUGAGAGGACGAUCAGCCACACUGGGACUGAGACACGGCCCAGACUCCUACGGGAGGCAGCAGUGGGGAAUUUUGGACAAUGUGGGCAACCCUGAUCCAGCAAUGCCGCGUGAGUGAAGAAGGCCUUCGGGUUGUAAAGCUCUUUUGUCAGGGAAGAAACACCGGCUCUAACACAGUCCGGGAAUGACGGUACCUGAAGAAUAAGCACCGGCUAACUACGUGCCAGCCGCCGCGGUAA
This 501-nucleotide ribosomal RNA is filed under the name uncultured bacterium. Its description in RNAcentral is "partial 16S ribosomal RNA". It matches the Rfam family "Bacterial small subunit ribosomal RNA", at positions 30 to 523 of the family's 1533-position model. The record is from RNAcentral.